RNAcentral lists this ribosomal RNA (468 nucleotides) under uncultured bacterium. RNAcentral's name for it is "partial 16S ribosomal RNA". It matches the Rfam family "Bacterial small subunit ribosomal RNA", at positions 28 to 507 of the family's 1533-position model. The record is from RNAcentral.
GACGAACGCUGGCGGCGUGCUUAACACAUGCAAGUCGAACGGAAAGGCCCUGCUUUUGUGGGGUGCUCGAGUGGCGAACGGGUGAGUAACACGUGAGUAACCUGCCCUUGACUUUGGGAUAACUUCAGGAAACUGGGGCUAAUACCGGAUAGGAGCUCCUGCUGCAUGGUGGGGGUUGGAAAGUUUCGGCGGUUGGGGAUGGACUCGCGGCUUAUCAGCUUGUUGGUGGGGUAGUGGCUUACCAAGGCUUUGACGGGUAGCCGGCCUGAGAGGGGGACCGGCGACAUUGGGACUGAGAUACGGCGCAGACUCGUACGGGAGGCAGCGGGGGGGAAUAUUGCACAAUGGGCGGAAGCCUGAUGCAGCAACGCCGCGUGCGGGAUGACGGCCUGCGGGGUGUAAACCGCUUUCGCCUGUGACGAAGCGUGAGUGACGGUAAUGGGUAAAGAAGCACCGGCUAACUACGUG